GAUGAAGAACGCAGCGAAAUGCGAUACGUAAUGUGAAUUGCAGAAUUCAGUGAAUCAUCGAGUCUUUGAACGCACAUUGCGCCCCCUGGUAUUCCGGGGGGCAUGCCUGUCCGAGCGUCAUUGCUGCCCUCAAGCACGGCUUGUGUGUUGGGCCUCCGUCCUCCUCCCGGGGGACGGGCCCGAAAGGCAGCGGCGGCACCGCGUCCUGUCCUCGAGCGUAUGGGGCUUCGUCACCCGCUCUUGUAGGCCCGGCCGGCGCUUGCCGACACAUCAAUCUUUUUUCCAGGUUGACCUCGGAUCAGGUAGGGAUACCCGCUGAACUUAAGCAUAUCAAUAAGCGGAGGA
This 345-nucleotide unclassified non-coding RNA is filed under the name soil metagenome. Its description in RNAcentral is "partial contains 5.8S ribosomal RNA, internal transcribed spacer 2, and large subunit ribosomal RNA". The stretch from base 1 to 120 matches the Rfam family "5.8S ribosomal RNA", at positions 35 to 154 of the family's 154-position model. The record is from RNAcentral.